RNAcentral lists this long non-coding RNA (379 nucleotides) under Homo sapiens (human). Its description in RNAcentral is "non-protein coding lnc-TUBA3C-6:1". Lineage: Eukaryota; Metazoa; Chordata; Mammalia; Primates; Hominidae. The record is from RNAcentral.
AGGUGAUGGGAGCACACCCCCCAAUGACCCUGCCCCCGCACCUGCAAAAGCCCACCACACUUCAGCACUGUGUGCUCAUCUGCCAGCUGUGAAAUGUCAGAGCGAAAUGUCAACAUCUUGCAGGCCCAAGAGGUGAACUCAAGUCCCUCCUGCAAAAGGGCCAGAGGCCCCGGUGGCCCCAGAGGCGGUCCUUCACCGAGGGACCAGGAAACCAUGCAGUUCCCCCAGGUCUCCACCAAGAGUCUCUCCAAGAAAUGGCGAGUCGCCUGUGGCAGCACGUGCCACCCUGCCUGCACUGAAGCAGACCCUGAAGAACAACUUUGCCAAGCAGCAGAAGAGGCUGCAGGCACUGCAGAACUGGCACCUGCCCCUCUCCCCU